Molecule: ribosomal RNA, 499 nt
Filed under: uncultured bacterium
Lineage: Bacteria
Description: bacterial SSU rRNA
Rfam family: Bacterial small subunit ribosomal RNA
Source: RNAcentral
AUUGAACGCUGGCGGCAUGCUUUACACAUGCAAGUCGAACGGCAGCGCGGGGGCAACCCUGGCGGCGAGUGGCGAACGGGUGAGUAAUACAUCGGAACGUGCCCGAUCGUGGGGGAUAACGGAGCGAAAGCUUUGCUAAUACCGCAUACGAUCUACGGAUGAAAGCAGGGGACCGCAAGGCCUUGCGCGGACGGAGCGGCCGAUGGCAGAUUAGGUAGUUGGUGGGAUAAAAGCUUACCAAGCCGACGAUCUGUAGCUGGUCUGAGAGGACGACCAGCCACACUGGGACUGAGACACGGCCCAGACUCCUACGGAGGCAGCAGUGGGGAAUUUUGGACAAUGGGCGCAAGCCUGAUCCAGCCAUGCCGCGUGCAGGAUGAAGGCCUUCGGGUUGUAAACUGCUUUUGUACGGAACGAAAAGACUCUUUCUAAUAAAGAGGUACCAUGACGUACGUAAGAAUAAGCACGGCUAACUACGUGUCCAGCAGCCGCGGUAAAC